AUUGAGCAACACGUCCCACGCGUCGAAAGUCGAAACUACCUCGGCCUGAGAGUGAGGCCCCGUCGAUUGCUCGCAUUCCGAUCCCCAUUCUGCGCCGCCACAUGGCACGGACGGCUCCGGUCGCCGACGCCGACACCAUCGCUGUCCUCGGCGGCGACCUCCUGCGGGAGGUCUUCCUCCACCUCCCCACCCCUGCCGACCUCCUCCGCGCGGCGCUCGCCUGCAAGCCCUUCAUCCACGCCGCCCGCAGCGCCCGCUUCCUCCGCCGCUUCCGCCGCCGCCACCCCUCCGCCUGCCCGCUCCUCCUCGGCUGCUUCGUCCACCGCCCCAGUGAGGACCGCUGCCGCGAAGACCCCAGCCCUCUCCUUCUCCCCGCCCCCCUUCCCGCCGCCGCGCGCCGCGUCGUCGAGGGCGGCGACUUCGCGCUCUCCUUUCUGCCCGACCGCGGCUCGUCGGGCCCCGACCCGUGGAGGGUCUUGGACAGCCGCAGCGGCCGGCCCCUGCUGUGGGAUCGGGCGUCCGCGGAGCAGCCCGUCGCCGAUCCGUGGAAGGUCUUGGACUGCCGCAACGGCCGCCUCCUGCUGCGCAAUCGGGUGUCCGGAGAGCUGGCCGUCGCCGAUCCCUUGACCCGGCGCUGGGCCUCUCUCCCCGCGCCCCCGGCUGAGCGCCCCGUGGGGUACGGCCUCGUCACCGACGACGGCUGCUCGUCGGUGUUCCAGGCGUUCUGCCUUUCAGAAGACGGCGGGGGCUCCUCCGGGCUCCGCGCCCUGGUCCUCUCCUCCAGCGAGCUCCGAUGGGCCGACGCCGCUGUCCUCGCGGGCCAGUACAAUCUCGAGGACUCCCGGGUGAUGCAAGCCAACGGGUCGCUUUACUGGAAGCUCAAGGGCGGGGAGCGCAUGGUUGCGCUCAACACGGCGACGAUGGCGUUCUCCUUGCUGGAGCUCCCGGAUUUCGCGCGGCAGUUCAGCUUCGAUGUCAUUGAGAAGGGGGACGACGAUGCUGGCGGGCUCUACCUGCUCACCAUGCUCGGAUGCUGCAUCGAGGUAUGGGGCGGCUGGGAUGAUGGCAGCGGUGUGCUAACAUGGACACUGGUGGACAAGUCGGUGAGGUUCCAAAGGGCCAUGGCGGAGAUGAUUGGUUCACCACAGUUUUACCGGCAUGGGCUGGUUGUCAUUGCGGUGGUUGCCGGUGUGGUCUUCUUGCGCAAUAAGGAUCGCCUGCUCUCCAUUGAUUUGGAAACUAUGAAGCUGAGGAUGUUGGUUCGGAAAGACGAGUGCCCAUCGGCCCUGAUGUAUCCUUACACGAUGGCGUGGCCGCCUUCAUGCUUGAACCCUACUGAACAAGAAAUGUGAGGCUCACUACAUCUUAUGAUGAUAAUAAGGUUUUGUGCAGAGGUAACGAAGAGGAAGGAAUUCAAUCAUCCAUACGAUGGUUGCGGCGCAACCAGUUGUGCCUAAAUGUCUGAACCUCGUACGAUGUAAUUAGUUACUUUUAUGUUCUUGGUGUGUGUUUGUGUGGUCACUCUAUAAUCCGACUUCGUAAUCUGGGGAAUGCAGUAUGUAGCACGCUUCCUUCCUGACUGUUGUAUUGUACCAGUUCAUCUGUCUCCUCAAAUUUGUGUGAUACAAUCCUAGUCGAGGUUGGAGUGUGUCUCCUUCGAUACAGAUGCAUGGAUUAUAUCUCAGUGUAAUAAAUGGGCUUACAGAAUCAUGCACAGGUAAUAAACUGAAGACUGAAGAGUAUCAGUUUGUGUCUGAGCCUUCUUAUCUAACCCCUGAAGAAUUUCUGAGAUGCACCACGGAUGGAGACAGCAGCCUCAGGUUUUGGGCCCUGUUUCCUUAGUUUAUCUGGGUCGACAAUUAGGGUUUUGUAGCCUAGUAAUUUCCUACUAUCAUGAAUGCAUAUGGACUUACGACUACAAUGACGUUUCUGAUGUUCAUAAAUGCUUUCCCCCUUGCAGUGCAAUUUUCCUUCAAACUUCUGCGUUUCUUCACACGAAACUGCUCCGUGGACGACGAAUGCAUGCACGACAGCGGCCUCGUGUGCAUAGCAGCGCUGUUCUUCACAUGUUACUGUCAAAGUGUUGAUUCUUCCACUGUGCCCAUAUACAUUUAGAAAGUAACAAAGAUAGGACCGCAAUAUCUGGGAAAUGUUCCUUGCCAGAGAUGACAUUUGCGAACGACCCAGUUGGCAUUUUUAGGGACACAGCUCCUUUGGGUUUGUGACGUGUGGGCCAGCAACCCGUUGAGCCCACAUGUCAUGCACACAAUGGCAGGAGCGAGUCUCAUUUUUAGUGUUAUUUGGGUGGCAAUUUUAGUGUAGUGCAAGGCAGUUCGUUUGUUUUGAGGCAAAUUUCUUCGAAAACUGCUAUCCGAGCGAUCUGGAUGGUGUGUGGCUUGAGGUGGUUCACUGGGAAACGUCAAUGGAGAAGGUCGGACAGAUAACAUUUCCGUAAUAAGGAUAUCAUGGCAAUUCAUGUUCUUGAAACG
This 2489-nucleotide ribosomal RNA is filed under the name Triticum aestivum (bread wheat). RNAcentral's name for it is "partial small subunit ribosomal RNA". Lineage: Eukaryota; Viridiplantae; Streptophyta; Magnoliopsida; Poales; Poaceae. The record is from RNAcentral.